This is a non-coding RNA of Phalacrocorax carbo (great cormorant), 2038 nucleotides long. The record is from RefSeq and is a predicted model, not a curated record. NCBI's taxonomy places the organism in Eukaryota, Metazoa, Chordata, Aves, Suliformes, Phalacrocoracidae.
AGCCGGAAAGAGGACUCGAAGCCGUACAGUAUUAUACAACGGAGUAUUUGCAAAUACUCUGUAAACUCUAGAAGCCAGGCGCCGAAAUUGGCGUCAGUCCCCAACAUGACACACGCAACCCCUAACGAGGAGCCGCGAAAGUUAAAAGCCGGCAGCGCCAGUUCCCAGCUGCGAGAGGCUGCCCGGAGAUUAAUAAUUCAUAGGUUAUCCCUGUUAGCUGCAACCCCCAACGCUGACGCCGCCGCCGCGGGGCUGACGCGGACACGCGCGGCUCGCUGGCGCGGCGCCCCCUGCCGCCGCCAUUGGCGGAAGCGCCUUGGAAUUCCAUGACGUAGCGGCGGGGGCGGGGCGCCGGGGCUGUCCCGGCCCCUCCGCCCGCGGAGAGCCCGGCCCGGCCGCGGAGCCCACGGCGAUGGGAAGUGUUUUUCCUCCGGGAAACAGGGGACCCAGCAAGUCUUCCUCUCUCCUCCAGGGCUCCGCCGCCGCCCGCCCGAACGCCAGUAGUUCUGACUGACGUAAUACGCUUAAGAAAUACGGCAGGCCGGGCUAAGGGCUACAGGAACAGGUACGAGCCGGGGCAGCCCGUUAAGCUUUGCCACCAAUGAUAUCUGUGUGCCAGCAGGACGCUGCAGAAAGAGCCGCCCCAACACUAAAAAGACUCCAGAUGUCUUUCUUUCACCAGCUGCACAGAUAAGUGUUCGCUCCUCCUCUCUGACGGCCUUUAUCUCUGCAGACCACGGGGAUCUUCCACCCUUCAGCAUCUGUAAGCCACCGUGAAGAAAUCUAACCUAAUGAGAUUCCACCGGUUUAACCGACAACAUGCCAAGGACAACUGCAGCGCUUCAUCUUCACCCAGUGUAACCACCGCCAUUGCGAACGUGUCCACAUUGCUACAGGAAAUAAGGCUAGGGUGGAAAACAGCCGGUCCAGUUUGGAGCCAAAGAUGACUCAAGUGAUACCGGAUAGAAAGGAGGAGCAUUUAAAUCAGAAGUUGUCCAAGAUGUUUUUAGCACCUUUCACAGGACGUGCACAGCCCUCACCCAGCAAAGAGAGGCAGACUUCCACAGCCCAUACUCACUGUGUCUGGCUGAGUAGUGUACAUUUUCCAAAAUACUGUCUUUCAUCUUCGCCUUGGUGGGAAACUCUCAACUUGCCCAGGAGACUCUGGACAGAGAAAGACAGGCAUUUGUGGCAUCAGGCUGGAUUAGUUGCAAUGAGUGUAUCAAGUUGAAAAUACUGUUUCAAAACUGUUACUGAAAAAAACAAAUUGUUGCUUUGGAGCAAAGCUUCAAGCUCAAGCCCUUCAAGUAGCUCCCAGUCAGCUUCAAGUGCUGGUAUGCGGGACUGGCCCUGUUGGCCAAAGAGCUAAUGGAUCAGCUCCAGUAACAUCACAGGCUGCGUGAAGAUCCACAGACAACUGCAGCAGAUGAAGAGUGUGCCUUUUCUGAGGUUAUCGGGACAAAGGAGAAUAAGUGAGUCUGCAGUACGACUGUUUUUUAGCAACAUUGCAGGUAUCUUUCAGAAACAUUUAAAAAAGGUUUUCCAUUACAAGAGACAUUCACAGUUUGUUUUGUCACCAAACUCCAAAGACUCUCUGAUUGUCCUGGUUUUGGCUGGAUAAAGUUAAUUUUCUCCAUAGUAGCUGGUAGAGUGCUGUGGUUUGGAUUUAGGAUGAGAAUAAUGUUGAUAACCCAGUGAUGUGUUAGCUAUUGCCGAGCAGUGCUUGCACAGAGCCAAGGCCCUUUCUGCUUCCCACCCCGCCCCACCAGCGAGCUGGCUAGGGGUUCACAAGGAGUUGGGAGGGGACACGGCUGGGACAGCUGACCCCAACUGACCCAAGGGAUAUCCCACACCAUAUGACGUCAUGCUUAGCAUAUAAACCAGGGGAAAAGCUGGGCGGAGGUCUGCUGCUCAGGACCUGGCUGGGCAUCGGUCAGUGAGUGGUGAGCAACUGCAUUAUGCAUCACUUGUUUUGUAUAUUCUUUUGUCAUAUUAUUUUCCCUUUCUUCUCUGUCCUAUUAAAUUGUCUUUAUCUCAA